GGAGAAGAACCCUGGCACCAAAUCCUCAA
Molecule: non-coding RNA, 29 nt
Filed under: Mus musculus (house mouse)
Lineage: Eukaryota; Metazoa; Chordata; Mammalia; Rodentia; Muridae
Source: RNAcentral